Non-coding RNA from Camelina sativa (false flax), 222 nucleotides. NCBI's taxonomy places the organism in Eukaryota, Viridiplantae, Streptophyta, Magnoliopsida, Brassicales, Brassicaceae. The record is from RefSeq and is a predicted model, not a curated record.
UGUCGCUGCUCUUUUGGCCUACUGAAUAGUGUGCAGGCGGAGGCGGCGGAGGAGGCGGCGGAGGCGGAGGCGGCGGAGGAGGCGGUGUUGAUCGGAGCUGAUUUGCUUGAGUGUCGCUGCUCUUUUGGCCUACUGAACUGUAUGCAGGCGGAGGCGGCAUAAAAGGCGGUGAAGAGGUCGGAAGUUGAGAAGUAGAACAUGUUGCAGGAGUUGCCAAAGCUG